AUACUUGCCUGGCAGGGGAGAGACCACGAUCACAAAGGUGAUUUUCCCAGUGUGAAGUUUAUCCAUUGCACUUCCAAUGUGCUGACCCCUCCGAUUUUCCCAAAUGUGAGAAACUUAACUGCAUAAUUUGUGGUAGUGUGGGACUGCAUUCAUGCUCUCCCCUG
This 164-nucleotide small nuclear RNA is filed under the name Dasypus novemcinctus (nine-banded armadillo). RNAcentral describes it as "U1 spliceosomal RNA (ENSDNOG00000033620.1)". It matches the Rfam family "U1 spliceosomal RNA". From Rfam's summary of the family: U1 is a small nuclear RNA (snRNA) component of the spliceosome (involved in pre-mRNA splicing). Its 5' end forms complementary base pairs with the 5' splice junction, thus defining the 5' donor site of an intron. There are significant differences in sequence and secondary structure between metazoan and yeast U1 snRNAs, the latter being much longer (568 nucleotides as compared to 164 nucleotides in human). Lineage: Eukaryota; Metazoa; Chordata; Mammalia; Cingulata; Dasypodidae. The record is from RNAcentral.